UGGGGAAUUUUGGACAAUGGGCGCAAGCCUGAUCCAGCAAUGCCGCGUGCAGGAUGAAGGCCUUCGGGUUGUAAACUUCCUUUGUACGGAGCGAAAAGGUCUGCCCUAAUACGGUGGGCUCAUGACGGUACCGUAAGAAUAAGCACCGGCUAACUACGUGCCAGCAGCCGCGUUAAUACGUAGGGUGCGAGCGUUAAUCGGAAUUACUGGGCGUAUAGCGUGCGCAGGCGGCUAUAUAAGACAGUUGUGAAAUCCCCGGGCUCAACCUGGGACCUGCAUUUGUGACUGUAGAGCUAGAGUACGGUAGAGGGGGGUGGAAUUCCGCGUGUAGCAGUGAAAUGCGUAGAUAUGAGGAGGAACACCGAUGGCGAAGGCAGUCCACUGGACCUGUACUGACGCUGAUGCACGAAAGCGUGGGGAGCAAACA
RNAcentral lists this ribosomal RNA (427 nucleotides) under uncultured bacterium. RNAcentral describes it as "bacterial SSU rRNA". It matches the Rfam family "Bacterial small subunit ribosomal RNA", at positions 355 to 774 of the family's 1533-position model. The record is from RNAcentral.